RNAcentral lists this ribosomal RNA (253 nucleotides) under uncultured bacterium. Its description in RNAcentral is "partial 16S ribosomal RNA". It matches the Rfam family "Bacterial small subunit ribosomal RNA", at positions 524 to 776 of the family's 1533-position model. The record is from RNAcentral.
GACGUAGGGCGCAAGCGUUGUCCGGAAUUACUGGGCGUAAAGGGCGCGUAGGCGGCCUGUUAAGUCGAACGUGAAAUCCCCGGGCUCAACCCGGGAACUGCGUCCGAUACUGGCAGGCUUGAAUCCGGGAGAGGGAUGCGGAAUUCCAGGUGUAGCGGUGAAAUGCGCAGAUAUCAGGAGGAACACCGGUGGCGAAGGCGGCUCUCUGGGACGGUACUGACGCUGAGACGCGAAAGCGUGGGGAGCGAACAGG